ACGCGAAGAACCUUACCCAGGCUUGACAUACCCCUGACAUCCAUAGAAAUAUGGUGCCCUUCGGGGCUGGGGAAUACCAGGUGCUGCCCAUGGCACGUCGUCAGCUCGUGUUUCGUGAAGAUGUUGGGUUAAGUCCCGCAACNGAGCGCAACCCUUGCCAUUAGUUGCCAUCGGGUGAUGCCGGGCACUCUAAUGGAACUGCCGGCGAUAAGUCGGAGGAAGGUGGGGAUGACGUCAAGUCCUCAUGGCCCUUACGCCUGGGGCUGCAAUCGUGCUACAAUGGGCGGUACAGAGAGCUGCUAAGCCGCGAGGUGGAGCGAUCNUCUAAAAGCCGUCCUCAGUUCGGAUCGGAGUCUGCAACCCGACUCCGUGAAGUCGGAAUCGCUAGUAAUCGCGGAUCAGCAUGCCGCGGGAUACGUUCCCGGCCUGUACACACCGCCCGUCAAGCGAUGAAGCCGGGGGUGCCCGAAGUCGUGUCUCUAACCUUUGGGAAGAGCACGCCGAAGUAAAA
RNAcentral lists this ribosomal RNA (511 nucleotides) under uncultured organism. RNAcentral's name for it is "bacterial SSU rRNA". It matches the Rfam family "Bacterial small subunit ribosomal RNA", at positions 959 to 1466 of the family's 1533-position model. The record is from RNAcentral.